UACAGAGGGUGCAAACGUUGCUCGGAAUCACUGGGCGUAAAGCGCGUGUAGGCGGGACGGAAAGUCGGGUGUGAAAUCCCUGGGCUCAACCCAGGAACUGCAUCCGAAACUUCCAUUCUAGAGUGUCGGAGAGGAAAGCGGAAUUCCUGGUGUAGAGGUGAAAUUCGUAGAUAUCAGGAGGAACACCGGUGGCGAAGGCGGCUUUCUGGACGACAACUGACGCUGAGACGCGAAAGCGUGGGGAGCAAACAGG
RNAcentral lists this ribosomal RNA (253 nucleotides) under uncultured bacterium. RNAcentral describes it as "partial 16S ribosomal RNA". It matches the Rfam family "Bacterial small subunit ribosomal RNA", at positions 524 to 776 of the family's 1533-position model. The record is from RNAcentral.